UACGUAGGGUGCAAGCGUUGUCCGGAAUUAUUGGGCGUAAAGAGCUCGUAGGUGGUUUGGUAAGUCGGAUGUGAAAUCUCCAGGCUCAACCUGGAGGGGUCAUUCGAUACUGCCAUGACUAGAGGUCGGUAGGGGAGUGUGGAAUUCCUGGUGGAGCGGUGAAAUGCGCAGAUAUCAGGAGGAACACCCGUAGCGAAGGCGGCACUCUGGGCCGAUUCUGACACUGAGGAGCGAAAGCGUGGGGAGCGAACAGG
This 254-nucleotide ribosomal RNA is filed under the name uncultured bacterium. RNAcentral's name for it is "partial 16S ribosomal RNA". It matches the Rfam family "Bacterial small subunit ribosomal RNA", at positions 524 to 776 of the family's 1533-position model. The record is from RNAcentral.